UACUGUAUUUGUACACAUGAAAGCAUUUU
RNAcentral lists this non-coding RNA (29 nucleotides) under Rattus norvegicus (Norway rat). The record is from RNAcentral. Lineage: Eukaryota; Metazoa; Chordata; Mammalia; Rodentia; Muridae.